UACAGAGGGGGCUAGCGUUGUUCGGAAUUACUGGGCGUAAAGGGCGCGUAGGCGGGCUGUCAAGUCUGGGGUGAAAUCCCGCGGCUCAACCGUGGAACUGCCUCAGAUACUGACGGCCUCGAGGGAGAUAGGGGCGAGCGGAACUAAUGGUGGAGCGGUGAAAUGCGUUGAUAUCAUUAGGAACUCCGGUGGCGAAGGCGGCUCGCUGGAUCUUUUCUGACGCUGAGGCGCGAAAGCUAGGGGAGCAAACGGG
Molecule: ribosomal RNA, 253 nt
Filed under: uncultured bacterium
Lineage: Bacteria
Description: partial 16S ribosomal RNA
Rfam family: Bacterial small subunit ribosomal RNA
Source: RNAcentral